RNAcentral lists this ribosomal RNA (1231 nucleotides) under Ornithodoros noorsveldensis. RNAcentral describes it as "Ornithodoros sp. 2 BJM-2014 16S ribosomal RNA". The stretch from base 805 to 1146 matches the Rfam family "Archaeal large subunit ribosomal RNA", at positions 2151 to 2715 of the family's 2987-position model. Lineage: Eukaryota; Metazoa; Arthropoda; Arachnida; Ixodida; Argasidae. The record is from RNAcentral.
AAAUAGUUAAUUGUUUUUGAAUUAAUUAGAGAUUUAGUUUUUUGUAUCUUGUGAGAGUGUUAAUUGGACGAUAGGGUAUAGUACUGUGAAGGAAUUUUGAAAAUAAUGAUAAAUAUUUUUGGGUGUAGUAAAGGGAGUGUUGUACCUUUUGUAUUAGGGUUUAAUGAUAAUUUUGAUGUUUAUUGGGUUCCCGAAUAACUUUGAGCUAUAAGGGGUUUGAUGUACAGUCGUUUUAAAGAUUGUGUUGAUUCUUUUAUAGAAAUGAAAUUUUAUUCGAAAGGUUUGAUAUCUGGUUAGAAUUAAAGAUUAUAUAUUUUGCUGUGAUGGUAUUUAUUGGUUAAAUUCAUUGUUUUGAUUUUCUGGGAUAAGCUUGGAAAUUUUUUAUAUAUUAAUGUUGUUGCGGAAUUGAGGCUUAGAAUUUGCUUUUGUUUUGUAAUAAAAAAUUUUUGUUAAUGUUAUAGUUUAGAGUUUUAGAUUUUUUAAUUAAUUUAUAUUGAAAGAAUAUAUAUUAAAAUUAGUAUAAUUUAAUGAAGAUUUAAUUUUUUGAGGUUAUGAUUUUAAGGUUAAAAUUGAGAAAGAAUUCGGCAAAUUUUAUCUUUGAAUGUUUAUCAAAAACAUUGUAUUUUGAGUUAAUAAAAUAUAGGACCUGCUCAAUGAGUAUUUUUAAUUGCUGUGGUAUUAUGACUAUACGAAGGUAUUGAAAUAAGACUUUAAUUGGGUGCUAAGAGAAUGGUUUAACAUGGAUAAGCUUUUUUCUUAUUUAAAUUAAAAUUUAAUUUAAAAAUGAAAAAGUUUUUAUAUGAUUCUAGGACAAGAAGACCCUAUGAAUUUUUCUAAAAUUUAUUUUAGAGGUUUGUUAGGAGAGAGGUUAAAUUAAUUUUUAGUUAAUUGGGGUGAUUUUUAAAUUUUGAGAAACUUUAGAAAUAUGUUUUUGGAUCCAAUAGUAUUGAUAGGUUGAAUAAAAUACUCUAGGGAUAACAGCGUUAUUACUUUGGAUAGUUCAUAUAGAUAAAGUAGAUUGCGACCUCGAUGUUGGAUUAGGAUACCUUUAUUAUGAAGAAGUUAUAAAAGGGAGUUUGCUCAACUCUUAAAUUCCUACAUGAUCUGAGUUCAGACCGGCGUGAGCCAGGUUGGUUUCUAUCUAGAUUAUGAUGAAGUCUUAUUAGUACGAAAGGAAUUUGAGGUUAAAAUUAUUUUUGUGAAAUUUGGAUUGAGUUAUGUUAGCUAUUUU